GGUAAGCUCGUGCGAGAAGCCGAUGGAAUACGAAGUGUUGAAUCGUUAAUCGGAAUUACUGGGCGUAAAGGGCGCGUAGGUGGUUCAGUAAGUUUGAAGUGAAAUCCCCGGGCUCAACCUGGGAACUUCUUUAAAAACUGCUGAGCUAGAGUACGGUAGAGGGUGGUGGAAUUUCCUGUGUAGCGGUGAAAUGCGUAGAUAUAGGAAGGAACACCAGUGGCGAAGGCGACCACCUGGACUGAUACUGACACUGAGGUGCGAAAGCGUGGGGAGCAAACAGGAUUAGAUACCCGGGUAGUC
This 300-nucleotide ribosomal RNA is filed under the name uncultured Halobellus sp. RNAcentral's name for it is "bacterial SSU rRNA". It matches the Rfam family "Bacterial small subunit ribosomal RNA", at positions 496 to 795 of the family's 1533-position model. Lineage: Archaea; Methanobacteriati; Methanobacteriota; Halobacteria; Halobacteriales; Haloferacaceae. The record is from RNAcentral.